UCCGUAGGCGGUGCGGCAAGUCGGAAGUGAAAUCUCUGGGCUUAACUCAGAGGCUGCUUCCGAAACUGCCGUGCUCGAGUGCGAGAGAGGCAAGUGGAAUUGCGGGUGUAGCGGUGAAAUGCGUAGAUAUCCGCAGGAACAUCCGAGGCGAAAGCGGCUUGCUGGAUCGCAACUGACGCUGAGGGACGAAAGCUAGGGGAGCAAACAGGAUUAGAUACCCUGGUAGUCCUAGCCCUAAACCAUCAGGACUUGGGGUUUGCCCUGUACGGGGCAAGUCCCGGAGCUAACGCGUUAAGUCCUGCGCCUGGGGAGUACGGUCGCAAGGCUAGAA
This 331-nucleotide ribosomal RNA is filed under the name uncultured bacterium. Its description in RNAcentral is "bacterial SSU rRNA". It matches the Rfam family "Bacterial small subunit ribosomal RNA", at positions 568 to 899 of the family's 1533-position model. The record is from RNAcentral.